This 570-nucleotide ribosomal RNA is filed under the name uncultured fungus. RNAcentral's name for it is "eukaryotic LSU rRNA". The stretch from base 178 to 331 matches the Rfam family "5.8S ribosomal RNA". Lineage: Eukaryota; Fungi. The record is from RNAcentral.
CAUUAUUGAUUGCGAAUCGUUGUCUUCAGUGCUGGCCAGCUCUGGCAAGUGCACGUUGGCGGCUUUUCAUCCAAUACCCCUGUGAACCUUUGGCCUCUUGCUAGCUUUGGCUGGCAGAGGAUUUUUACACCCACUCGAAUGUAAUGAAAUUAUUGUUGUGCGCAAGCACUGCUGUACAACUUUCAACAACGGAUCUCUUGGCUCUCGCAUCGAUGAAGAACGCAGCGAAAUGCGAUAAGUAAUGUGAAUUGCAGAAUUCAGUGAAUCAUCGAAUCUUUGAACGCACCUUGCACCCUUUGGCAUUCCGAAGGGUAUGCUCGUUUGAGUGUCAUUGUACUCUCACACUUCUGAUCCUUUUGGAUUGGGAGCGGUGGACUUGGGUGUUGCUGCUUUACUGCGGCUCACCUCAAAUGCAUUAGUGCAACUCUUGGUUGGACAUAGUACGGCGUGAUAAGUAUCUUCGCCGGCACCUCGCAAGAGGGUGGCUGAUCAGGAGCUCUGUGCUCUCCAACUGUCUUCGGACAACAACUGACAACUUGACCUCAAAUCGAGUAGGACCACCCGCUGAAC